RNAcentral lists this long non-coding RNA (675 nucleotides) under Homo sapiens (human). RNAcentral describes it as "long non-coding RNA NONHSAT196587.1". Lineage: Eukaryota; Metazoa; Chordata; Mammalia; Primates; Hominidae. The record is from RNAcentral.
UGACUUUAAAGAUAUGGAGUAUGAAACAAGACAAUUGUGUCCAUGAUUUGCAAGCACAUAAUAAAGAAAUUUAUACUAUCAAAUGGAGUCCAACAGGACCAGGGACUAAUAAUCCAAAUGCCAACCUUAUGUUAGCAAGUGCAUCCUUUGAUUCUACUGUUAGGUUAUGGGAUGUAGACCGAGGGAUAUGCAUCCAUACCUUGACAAAACACCAAGAGCCUGUGUACAGUGUAGCUUUCAGUCCUGAUGGCAGGUAUCUGGCAAGUGGUUCUUUUGACAAAUGUGUACACAUCUGGAACACGCAGACAGGUGCUCUAGUUCACAGCUAUAGGGGAACAGGUGGAAUAUUUGAAGUUUGCUGGAAUGCAGCAGGAGACAAAGUUGGAGCCAGUGCAUCAGAUGGUUCAGUUUGUGUAUUAGACCUUCGGAAAUAGCGCUACUAGUUGGAAGCCAUGGACCGACUAUGAAUGUGUACAUAGCCAAAAUGACUGUCCCUGACCCAUGUACUGCUAUAGUCCCACUUGAACCAUGGCCAGUCCACUACAGCCAAAUCUAAAAGAAAUAUAUACAUACAGUGUAUAUAAACAAAAUUGCACCCUGAAGAUGACAGAGUUUUGUCACAGCUUGUGAAUUCUGUUCACCAAGUGCUGGAAUCUAAUCUGCUGUGCCCCUAAA